AUGGCCAUGGAGGCUGCACUCGUCAGCGUGGCGACGGGGGUCCUCAAACCUGUCAUAGGGAAGCUGACCGUCCUGCUCGGCAAUGAGUACAAGCGUUUCAAAACAGUUCGAAAGGAGAUCAAGUCUCUCACUAAUGAGCUUGCCGCAAUGGAGGCUUUUCUCCUCAAGAUGUCGGAGGAGGAGGAUCCUGAUGUGCAGGAUAAAGUCUGGAUGAAUGAGGUGCGGGAGCUGUCCUAUGACCUGGAGGACGCCAUCGACGACUUCAUGCAAAGCAUCGGUGACAAAGACGAAAAGCCAGAUGGCUUCAUCGAGAAAGUGAAGAACUCACUAGGGAAGUUGGGGAAGAUGAAGGCUCGUCGUCGGAUCGGCAAGGAGAUUCAGGAUCUGAAGAAACAAAUCAAAGAGGUGGGUGAGAGGAAUGCAAGGUACAAGGGUCGUGAGGCCUUCUCCAACUCCAAGAAUGCAACCGUUGACCCUAGAGCCCUUGCUAUCUUUGAGCAUGCCUCAAAGCUCGUCGGAAUUGAUGAGCCCAAGGCUGAGAUAAUCAAGCUGUUAACAGAAGAGGAUGUUCGUGCUUCAGAGCAACAACAACAACCAAAGAUAGUCUCCAUCACUGGACCUGGAGGAAUGGGCAAAACAACUCUUGCAAACCAAGUGUAUCAAGAGCUAAAAGGAAAAUAUGAGUGUUGGGCUUUCAUCUCAGUUUCACGAAAUCCAGACAUGACGAAUGUCUUGAGAACCAUUCUAAGUGAAGUGGCUAAGAAAGACUAUGCUACCACUGAAGCUGGGAAUAUACAACAACUCAUCAUCAAGAUCAUAGAUUUUCUAGCAGACAAAAGGUACAUUUUGUCUUUAAUAUUUUUUCAUUUCUACUUGUCAUCUUUGAAUGUAUAA
This 894-nucleotide ribosomal RNA is filed under the name Triticum aestivum (bread wheat). RNAcentral describes it as "partial small subunit ribosomal RNA". Lineage: Eukaryota; Viridiplantae; Streptophyta; Magnoliopsida; Poales; Poaceae. The record is from RNAcentral.